UGGGGAUUGAUUUACAAGAGACACUCACCACCAUGGAUGGAUCCAGCGGGUUUUUCUCUCUAGUAGGCGGGGUGGUGCAUCUCAGGAAGGCAGCUUGUUCAUCACUCAAAAAUGAGUACCCCUUACAUCCCUGAGUGGUACACAUGUAAUACCUGUCAGUGGUGGGGGUCUCUGUCUGGUCUUACAGAUUCUUUAAGGCAUUUUUGAGCUAUUCUGGGAUGUCGUUUCCCGGGCAAUGGCACAUGCUGUCUGGUCCGCACAUCUGCACGUGUUCUCAGUCCCGACACGCUGGUCCCGUGUAGUACAGCGUGUGCCUCCGCAGGGAAGGUGAUCGCUUGUAGCCAGGCAAGUCCCCUAUUGCCCGGAGCUGGGCAGGUUCUCUGUGACUUGUGGCCAAGCCAGUGUCUGGAAAAUGAUGUGGCUCUUCAUGGCAGAAAUAUUCAGGAGCAAACAGACUUUGAGACACCACCCCAUGGCUCAAAAUUUGCUGCUUCCUUGUCCAUGGUGGCAGGAAAGUAGCAAAAACAGGUAAGUAUGGAAAAGAGCUUAAUUUUAUACAGUCUUUAUGACUGUGGAUUCAGGCUUAGCCUGGUUUAACAUCCCCCUGCAGUGAAGCAUCUAUAAUUGGAUAUUUCAGUGAUUUAAAUGGGGAAGGAGUAACAAUAAUAUAACACCACAUAGCAUAUAAACCAGAAUGCAUUUAAUCCACAGGGCACCUGGAAGCCCAGAGGAGGGUUCAGCUUCCCAACUCUUCCGGGGUUGGACAGCAACACGGUCUAGCUUUCGUAUUGCCAUGGUGAUUUGCUUAACAACUUGGCCAUUGUCAGUCUUUAAACAACAAUUAGAAUAAUUUAGUUUACCACAGACCCACUUUUCUUUGGCUAACAAGUAAUCAAGAACCAUGCAAUGUUGGAAAAUCCACAAAUCCAAUAAUGGCCUUGCAGGGCGCAGGCACCAUUUGAAAAGGGACUCCAUUUACCUCCUUUGGGGCUGUCAUGAUAGGUGGUUGACCCAGUUCCAAAUGCUCCUGCCAUUAGCCUUGUUUUUGUUGCUGCACGAUUUUUUACCCCAUAGGUACAAUUCAAGGCCCCAACUUGGUUACUCCUCGUGCAGCUGCAUCCAUGCCAUCCCCAAUCAUCAUUAGUUAUGACAUUUGUGAAAGGCAAAACAUGGUGAAGCGUUUUUUGUUUCCACUUGUAUCAUACCAGUAACUGAGAUGGUGUAGAAGAGUUUUUGAAAGAAGGAGCUCACCAUCUGUAUCAGAAGUUAUCUAUGAACAAUCCUGUGCUUGACAUGACCCAGACUCAGCAGCAGAUCAAAGGUCAUAGAUAGUGAGGAACAAAGAAGUGACCUGAGCUGGUUAAAUGUUAUCUCUGCUGAGAUGAUAAUAUAGUGAAUGUCGCCAGCGCGCUGGACAAUGCAUGGACAACUGCGAAUGCCUUAUCACCUUGGGGGGUGGGAUGCGUGAUUGCUUUGUAUUAACCAACCAUAUGUCUGUUGCUACGCCUGAGCCUGCUGUAGAGAAUAUAAAAACCGUGCUAGUAGUUUAUUAAAUUGACUUUGACUGCACCUCA
Molecule: long non-coding RNA, 1574 nt
Organism: Columba livia (rock pigeon)
Lineage: Eukaryota; Metazoa; Chordata; Aves; Columbiformes; Columbidae
Exons: 2
Source: RefSeq, a predicted model, not a curated record